RNAcentral lists this transfer RNA (70 nucleotides) under Mantella madagascariensis (Madagascar golden frog). RNAcentral describes it as "tRNA-Asp". It matches the Rfam family "tRNA". From Rfam's summary of the family: Transfer RNA (tRNA) molecules are approximately 80 nucleotides in length. Their secondary structure includes four short double-helical elements and three loops (D, anti-codon, and T loops). Further hydrogen bonds mediate the characteristic L-shaped molecular structure. tRNAs have two regions of fundamental functional importance: the anti-codon, which is responsible for specific mRNA codon recognition, and the 3' end, to which the tRNAs corresponding amino acid is attached (by aminoacyl-tRNA synthetases). tRNAs cope with the degeneracy of the genetic code in two manners: having more than one tRNA (with a specific anti-codon) for a particular amino acid; and 'wobble' base-pairing, i.e. permitting non-standard base-pairing at the 3rd anti-codon position. Lineage: Eukaryota; Metazoa; Chordata; Amphibia; Anura; Mantellidae. The record is from RNAcentral.
GAGGAACUAGUUAAAUACAUAACACUGCCUUGUCAAGACAGAGUUGUUAGUGAGACUCUUGCGCUCCUCU